This 253-nucleotide ribosomal RNA is filed under the name uncultured bacterium. Its description in RNAcentral is "partial 16S ribosomal RNA". It matches the Rfam family "Bacterial small subunit ribosomal RNA", at positions 524 to 776 of the family's 1533-position model. The record is from RNAcentral.
UACGUAGGGCGCAAGCGUUGUCCGGAAUUAUUGGGCGUAAAGAGCUCGUAGGCGGCUUGUCACGACGGAUGUGAAAGCCCGGGGCUUAACCCCGGGUCUGCAUUCGAUACGGGCUAGCUAGAGUGUGGUAGGGGAGAUCGGAAUUCCUGGUGUAGCGGUGAAAUGCGCAGAUAUCAGGAGGAACACCGGUGGCGAAGGCGGAUCUCUGGGCCAUUACUGACGCUGAGGAGCGAAAGCGUGGGGAGCGAACAGG